This 235-nucleotide long non-coding RNA is filed under the name Lathyrus oleraceus (garden pea). Its description in RNAcentral is "Pisum sativum (pea) long non-coding RNA (PSAT_LNC013829)". Lineage: Eukaryota; Viridiplantae; Streptophyta; Magnoliopsida; Fabales; Fabaceae. The record is from RNAcentral.
UCUGGUAGCUGCUGAGAAGUAUCAACCGGUUCCUUUCCUUUUCCUUUUCCCUUUGCUCUAGCUGGAAUGGUUUGUGGAGGCAUGGUGAUGAAAGGUUGAGGGAAAGUGGAAUGAAUUUAGGGUUUUAGAGAGAGUGAUGAUGAGGAAAAUUAGGGUUAGCCGCUGGUUUUGGGAGCUAUGGGGACUGCUGAUAUGAAGUCUUAAGAUAGGAUGUGAUAAGAGUGGCUAAUGUGUC